GCAUAUCAAUAAGCGGAGGAAAAGAAACUAACAAGGAUUCCCCUAGUAACGGCGAGUGAAGAGGGAAGAGCCCAAGAUUGAAAGCUGGCGUCUUCGGCGUCCGCAUUGUAAUCUCAAGAAGUGUUUUCCGCUUCGGACCAAGCCUAAGUCCCCUGGAAAGGGGCAUCAUAGAGGGUGAUAAUCCCGUACAUGGCUUGGAGCGCCCGAGGCUUUGUGAUACGCUUUCUAAGAGUCGAGUUGUUUGGGAAUGCAGCUCAAAAUGGGUGGUAAAUGCCAUCUAAGGCUAAAUAUUGGGGAGAGACCGAUAGCGAACAAGUACAGUGAUGGAAAGAUGAAAAGAACUUUGAAAAGAGAGUUAAACAGUACGUGAAAUUGCCAAAAGGGAAGGGUAGGAGGUCAGAGAUGCGGCCUGGGAUUCAGCCUUGCUUUUGCUUGGUGUUUUUCCCAGAUUGCAGGCCAACGUCGGUUUUGGGCACUGGAGAAGGGUAGGAGGAACGUGGCACCCCUCGGGGUGUGUUAUAGCCUCCUACUGGAUACAGCGACCGAGACCGAGGACAGCAGCGUACUCGCAAGAGCGGGCCUUCGGGCACCUUUACGCUUAGGGCGUUGGCAUAAUGGCCCUCUACCACCCGUCUUGAAACACGGACCAAGGAGUCUAACAUGUAUGCGAGUCUUUGGGUGGCAAACCCAUAGGCGCAAUGAAAGUGAAUUCAGGUGGGAUCCGCAAGGUGCACCAUCGACCGAUCCUCACGUCUUUUAAGUCGUGGAUUUGAGUAAGAGCAUACCUGUUGGGACCCGAAAGAUGGUGAACUAUGCCUGAAUAGGGUGAAGCCAGAGGAAACUCUGGUGGAGGCUCGUAGCGGUUCUGACGUGCAAAUCGAUCGUCAAAUUUGGGUAUAGGGGCGAAAGACUAAUCGAACCAUCUAGUAGCUGGUUCCUGCCGA
RNAcentral lists this ribosomal RNA (944 nucleotides) under Moesziomyces antarcticus. RNAcentral describes it as "LSU rRNA". It matches the Rfam family "Eukaryotic large subunit ribosomal RNA", at positions 38 to 964 of the family's 3401-position model. Lineage: Eukaryota; Fungi; Basidiomycota; Ustilaginomycetes; Ustilaginales; Ustilaginaceae. The record is from RNAcentral.